AAUCCUGAAACCAGCAAUCACAAAGUCAGUUCCUCAUCAAGAGAUCAAAGUCAUUCAUUUUGGAUACAAUCAUAUUUUCAGGCUAAAGGGAAGGUUGGGAAGGUCAGGCAUUAGAAUGCUGGAGGAGUGUCCUUGGCAGAGAAGGACUAAGCCAGUGGAUCACAAACAUCCUGGAGAGCAGUGACUCUGUGAUUCCAUCACAAGAAUAUGAAGGACUGAGAAGAUCUCCAGCUCUGCCCAUUGCACCUUCCCAUUGAGAAGCAGCAUGGCACCCUGGUGGCAGGGGCUGAUACUCAGCCGGGCCAGGGUGCUCUCCUGUUAACCAUAACCAAGCUCACAGGACAUGGGAUGAGCCCACUGUGUGACACAGGGAGCGGGACACAGUCUGUUAAGUCUUGCACAGCCAUGCUCUGCCACGCAGGCAGGCCUUUCCUUGGCCUCCCUCUCCCUGUUCGUGCUCAUGUGAACAUCCACCUACGUGGAUAGACUGGGCUUUGGUUCAUUAUUGCUCUGUGAAUUCCUCGAACUUCCGCAUCUGCCCAACCUCCCCCACCCCAUUGUUUUCAUUGUGUUUCACCAAAUGGAAAUUCUAGAGUAAGCAUAUAGAAUCUUCAACUCGGAGGCACCAGUCUCUCUCACUUGAGGAAAGAAUGCGAAGGAAGGAAUGGCCUGACUUCCUCAUGUGUGCCCUGUUUCUCGGUAGGCACCAUGUGGGGGCUGCCACACAUGUGCCGAAGCUUUGGGAACGUUCCGUUUAAAUACCAAUUUCGAUGCCAAUGCCUAACAUGGAGCACAAAUAUCCAGCUCACAUAGUUGUGGGAGCCAUAGAUAAGAAAGAAGCAUUUACGAAGCACAUCAAAAGUGUCUCAGAAGAGCUGUAUACUUGGCCAUGGGGGCAGCAGCUCCCGCUCAAGCAUCCCCUCAGCCUGCACACCUCCAGGACUUGCUGCUUUCUGUGCUGUUCUCAACACCAGGGUCCUUUCCUCCAGAAGUGGGACCUCUUAAGUGUGAGAAAAGAACUUGUUCUUUUAAGAUGGUACCUGAAUGACUUUUGAAAUUUAAUUAGAACCUGUAGUUUUUCAAAGCCUCCUGUUAUAGACCGAAUGGUACCCUCCUACAUUCAUAUACCGAAGCCCUGACCCUGGCGUGGCUGCAUUUGGAGAUAGGGUCUCUAAGGAGGUGAUUGAGGUUAAAUGAAACCAUAAGAAUGGAGCUCCAAUCCAGUAGUGCUGGUGUCCUUGCAAAGAAGAGGAAGAGGCAUCAGAGAUGCACAAGCAUGGAGAAAAGGCCAUGUGAGGACACAGCAAGAAGGUGGCUGUCUGCAAACCUGGAAGAGUGUCCUCACUAGAAGCCAUCCAUGCUAGCACCUUGAACUCCAGAACCAUGAGAAAAUAAAUUUCUGUUUUUAAGCCACCCAA
This 1418-nucleotide long non-coding RNA is filed under the name Homo sapiens (human). RNAcentral describes it as "long independently transcribed non-coding RNA 3082, transcript variant 14 (LINC03082)". The record is from RNAcentral. Lineage: Eukaryota; Metazoa; Chordata; Mammalia; Primates; Hominidae.